Molecule: transfer RNA, 69 nt
Filed under: Dipodomys ordii (Ord's kangaroo rat)
Lineage: Eukaryota; Metazoa; Chordata; Mammalia; Rodentia; Heteromyidae
Rfam family: tRNA
About the family: Transfer RNA (tRNA) molecules are approximately 80 nucleotides in length.
Source: Rfam by way of RNAcentral
AGAUAGCUAAAGUAGUACAGUGCUUGCCUUGCAAGCAGGAAGCCCUGAAUUCAAAUCUCAGUACAACUA